This 149-nucleotide long non-coding RNA is filed under the name Gorilla gorilla gorilla (western lowland gorilla). Its description in RNAcentral is "lncRNA (ENSGGOG00000044402.1)". Lineage: Eukaryota; Metazoa; Chordata; Mammalia; Primates; Hominidae. The record is from RNAcentral.
ACUGAUAAAACCAAAUAUUAAUCUUGGAAACUGAAUAGCACAAUUAAUUCUGUUGGAACUGGCUCACAAACAGUCUUUGUUGUGAUUCCGUGUUUCUCGUGGAUCUCUGGAGACAGCUUCCGGCUUGAGGAGAGAAUAUCAAUAGCCCA